CCUACGGGUGGCAGCAGUGAGGAAUAUUGGUCAAUGGGCUUACGCCUGAACCAGCAAAGUCGCGUGAGGGAAGACUGCCCUAUGGGUUGUAAACCUCUUUUGUAAGGGAGCAAUUGGCGCUACGUGUAGCGGUAUCGAGAGUACGUGAAGAAAAAGCAUCGGCUAACUCCGUGCCAGCAGAAGCGGUAAUACGGAGGAUGCGAGCGUUAUCAGGAUGUAUUGGGUUUAAAGGGUGCGUAGGCGGAAUGCCAAGUCAGCGGUAAAAUCGAGGGGCUCAACCUCGCUCCGCCGUUGAAACUGGCGUUCUUGAGUGGGCGAGAAGUAUGCUGAAUGCGUGGUGUAGCGGUGAAAUGCAUAGAUAUCACGCAGAACUCCGAUUGCGAAGGCAGCAUACCGGCGCCCAACUGACGCUGAAGCAUGAAAGCGUGGGUAUCGAACAGGAUUAGAUACCCUGGUAGUC
This 460-nucleotide ribosomal RNA is filed under the name uncultured bacterium. Its description in RNAcentral is "partial 16S ribosomal RNA". It matches the Rfam family "Bacterial small subunit ribosomal RNA", at positions 338 to 795 of the family's 1533-position model. The record is from RNAcentral.